RNAcentral lists this non-coding RNA (103 nucleotides) under Gordonia amarae. RNAcentral describes it as "Glycine sequence". It matches the Rfam family "Glycine riboswitch aptamer". From Rfam's summary of the family: This family represents the bacterial glycine riboswitch. Glycine riboswitches usually consist of two metabolite-binding aptamers domains with similar structures in tandem. The aptamers cooperatively bind glycine to regulate the expression of downstream genes. RNAcentral also lists the same sequence under 1 other name. The record is from RNAcentral. Lineage: Bacteria; Bacillati; Actinomycetota; Actinomycetes; Mycobacteriales; Gordoniaceae.
CGCACCGCUGCGGGAGAGCGUCGCCCACCUUAAGGUGAGGGUGACCGCCGAAGGAGCAACACCUCCUCGUCAAACUCUCAGGCACCUGGACCGUGGUGGAUGA